AGAGUUUGAUCCUGGCUCAGGAUGAACGCUAGCGGCAGGCUUAAUACAUGCAAGUCGAGGGGCAUCGCGUUAUAGCAAUAUGAUGGCGGCGACCGGCAAACGGGUGCGGAACACGUACACAACCUUCCUUUGAUCGGGAGAUAACCCGGAGAAAUUCGGACUAAUACCCCAUAGUAAAGCUGAUCGGCAUCGAUUGGUUU
RNAcentral lists this ribosomal RNA (200 nucleotides) under uncultured bacterium. RNAcentral's name for it is "partial 16S ribosomal RNA". It matches the Rfam family "Bacterial small subunit ribosomal RNA", at positions 8 to 201 of the family's 1533-position model. The record is from RNAcentral.